CGGAGCUUGCUCCACCGGAAAAAGAAGAGUGGCGAACGGGUGAGUAACACGUGGGUAACCUGCCCAUCAGAAGGGGAUAACACUUGGAAACAGGUGCUAAUACCGUAUAACAAUCGAAACCGCAUGGUUUUGAUUUGAAAGGCGCUUUCGGGUGUCGCUGAUGGAUGGACCCGCGGUGCAUUAGCUAGUUGGUGAGGUAACGGCUCACCAAGGCCACGAUGCAUAGCCGACCUGAGAGGGUGAUCGGCCACAUUGGGACUGAGACACGGCCCAAACUCCUACGGGAGGCAGCAGUAGGGAAUCUUCGGCAAUGGACGAAAGUCUGACCGAGCAACGCCGCGUGAGUGAAGAAGGUUUUCGGAUCGUAAAACUCUGUUGUUAGAGAAGAACAAGGAUGAGAGUAACUGUUCAUCCCUUGACGGUAUCUAACCAGAAAGCCACGGCUAACUACGUGCCAGCAGCCGCGGUAAUACGUAGGUGGCAAGCGUUGUCCGGAUUUAUUGGGCGUAAAGCGAGCGCAGGCGGUUUCUUAAGUCUGAUGUGAAAGCCCCCGGCUCAACCGGGGAGGGUCAUUGGAAACUGGGAGACUUGAGUGCAGAAGAGGAGAGUGGAAUUCCAUGUGUAGCGGUGAAAUGCGUAGAUAUAUGGAGGAACACCAGUGGCGAAGGCGGCUCUCUGGUCUGUAACUGACGCUGAGGCUCGAAAGCGUGGGGAGCAAACAGGAUUAGAUACCCUGGUAGUCCACGCCGUAAACGAUGAGUGCUAAGUGUUGGAGGGUUUCCGCCCUUCAGUGCUGCAGCUAACGCAUUAAGCACUCCGCCUGGGGAGUACGACCGCAAGGUUGAAACUCAAAGGAAUUGACGGGGGCCCGCACAAGCGGUGGAGCAUGUGGUUUAAUUCGAAGCAACGCGAAGAACCUUACCAGGUCUUGACAUCCUUUGACCACUCUAGAGAUAGAGCUUCCCCUUCGGGGGCAAAGUGACAGGUGGUGCAUGGUUGUCGUCAGCUCGUGUCGUGAGAUGUUGGGUUAAGUCCCGCAACGAGCGCAACCCUUAUUGUUAGUUGCCAUCAUUCAGUUGGGCACUCUAGCAAGACUGCCGGUGACAAACCGGAGGAAGGUGGGGAUGACGUCAAAUCAUCAUGCCCCUUAUGACCUGGGCUACACACGUGCUACAAUGGGAAGUACAACGAGUCGCGAAGUCGCGAGGCUAAGCUAAUCUCUUAAAGCUUCUCUCAGUUCGGAUUGUAGGCUGCAACUCGCCUACAUGAAGCCGGAAUCGCUAGUAAUCGCGGAUCAGCACGCCGCGGUGAAUACGUUCCCGGGCCUUGUACACACCGCCCGUCACACCACGAGAGUUUGUAACACCCGAAGUCGGUGAGGUAACCU
Molecule: ribosomal RNA, 1387 nt
Filed under: Enterococcus durans
Lineage: Bacteria; Bacillati; Bacillota; Bacilli; Lactobacillales; Enterococcaceae
Description: bacterial SSU rRNA
Rfam family: Bacterial small subunit ribosomal RNA
Source: RNAcentral